RNAcentral lists this ribosomal RNA (274 nucleotides) under uncultured soil bacterium. RNAcentral describes it as "partial 16S ribosomal RNA". It matches the Rfam family "Bacterial small subunit ribosomal RNA", at positions 26 to 285 of the family's 1533-position model. The record is from RNAcentral.
AGAAUCAACGCUGGCGGCGUGCCUCAGACAUGCAAGUCGAACACGAAAGUUUCCUUCGGGGGACGAGUAGAGUGGCGCACGGGUGAGUAACACGUAGGUAAUCUACCUUUGGAUGGGGAAUAACAACCGGAAACGGUUGCUAAUACCGCAUGAUGCAGCGGCACCUAAUGGUGACAGUUGUUAAAGCGGGGGAUCGAAAGACCUCGCGUCUGAAGAGGAGCCUGCGGCGGAUUAGCUAGUUGGUAGGUAACGCCUACCAAGGCUACGAUCCGUA